UACGGGGGGAGCAAGCGUUGUUCGGAUUGACUGGGCGUAAAGGGCGCGUAGGCGGCGCAACAAGUCACUUGUGAAAUCUCCGGGCUUAACCCGGAGCGGCCAAGUGAUACUGUCGUGCUAGAGUGCGGAAGGGGCUACUGGAAUUCUCGGUGUAGCGGUGAAAUGCGUAGAUAUCGAGAGGAACACCUGCGGCGAAGGCGGGUAGCUGGGCCGACACUGACGCUGAGGCGCGAAAGCCAGGGGAGCGAACGGG
Molecule: ribosomal RNA, 253 nt
Filed under: uncultured bacterium
Lineage: Bacteria
Description: partial 16S ribosomal RNA
Rfam family: Bacterial small subunit ribosomal RNA
Source: RNAcentral